UCCCUGGUGGCUCAGAUGGUAAAGCAUCUGCCUGCAAUACAGGAGACCGGGGUUCAAUCCCUGGGUUGGGAA
Molecule: transfer RNA, 72 nt
Filed under: Bos taurus (domestic cattle)
Lineage: Eukaryota; Metazoa; Chordata; Mammalia; Artiodactyla; Bovidae
Also listed under: 1 other name
Rfam family: tRNA
About the family: Transfer RNA (tRNA) molecules are approximately 80 nucleotides in length.
Source: Rfam by way of RNAcentral